Molecule: ribosomal RNA, 468 nt
Filed under: uncultured bacterium
Lineage: Bacteria
Description: partial 16S ribosomal RNA
Rfam family: Bacterial small subunit ribosomal RNA
Source: RNAcentral
GACGAACGCUGGCGGCGUGCUUAACACAUGCAAGUCGAACGGAAAGGCCCUGCUUUUGUGGGGUGCUCGAGUGGCGAACGGGUGAUUAACACGUGAGUAACCUGCCCUUGACUUUGGGAUAACUUCAGGAAACUGGGGCUAAUACCGGAUAUGAGCUCCUGCUGCAUGGUGGGGGUUGGAAAGUUUCGGCGGUUGGGGAUGGACUCGCGGCUUAUCAGCUUGUUGGUGGGGUAGUGGCUUACCAAGGCUUUGACGGGUAGCCGGCCUGAGAGGGUGACCGGCCACAUUGGGACUGAGAUACGGCCCAGACUCCUACGGGAGGCAGCAGGGGGGAAUAUUGCACAAUGGGCGGAAGCCUGAUGCAGCAACGCCGCGUGCGGGAUGACGGCCUUCGGGUUGUAAACCGCUUUCGCCUGUGACGAAGCGUGAGUGACGGUAAUGGGUAAAGAAGCACCGGCUAACUACGUG